UACAGAGGGUGCAAGCGUUAAUCGGAAUUAUUGGGCGUAAAGCGCACGUAGGUGGGCAAAUAAGUUGUAUGUGAAAGCCCUGGGCUUAACCUGGGAAUGGCAUACAAUACUGUUUGUCUAGAGUAUGGGAGAGGGAAGCGGAAUUUCUGGUGUAGCGGUGAAAUGCGUAGAUAUCAGAAGGAACAUCAGUGGCGAAGGCGGCUUCCUGGCCUAAUACUGACACUAAGGUGCGAAAGCGUGGGGAGCAAACAGG
Molecule: ribosomal RNA, 253 nt
Filed under: uncultured bacterium
Lineage: Bacteria
Description: partial 16S ribosomal RNA
Rfam family: Bacterial small subunit ribosomal RNA
Source: RNAcentral